GAAGUUAGCCAGGCAGUCGCUGCCCGCGCAAGCGGGGAGAGGAAAGUCCGGGCUCCAUAGAGCAGGAUGCCGGUUAAUGGCCGGCCGCCGCGAGGCGAGGAAUAGGGCCACAGAGACGAGUAAACCCCGGUUUCGGCCGGGGUGGACGUGAAACGCGGUAACCUCCAUCCGGAGCAAGGCCAAAUAGGCAGGCUGUGACGUUGCUCGCCGAGCCUGCGGGUAGGCUGCUUGAGCCUUGGGGUAACUCAAGGCCUAGAGGAAUGACUGUCCACGACAGAACCCGGCUUAUCGGCUGACUUCCCCC
Molecule: RNase P RNA, 304 nt
Filed under: Sulfuricella sp.
Lineage: Bacteria; Pseudomonadati; Pseudomonadota; Betaproteobacteria; Nitrosomonadales; Sulfuricellaceae
Description: Bacterial RNase P class A
Rfam family: Bacterial RNase P class A
About the family: Ribonuclease P (RNase P) is a ubiquitous endoribonuclease, found in archaea, bacteria and eukarya as well as chloroplasts and mitochondria. Its best characterised activity is the generation of mature 5'-ends of tRNAs by cleaving the 5'-leader elements of precursor-tRNAs.
Source: Rfam by way of RNAcentral